GGUUGAUCCUGCCGGAGGUUACUGCUAUCGAGAUUCGACUAAGCCAUGCGAGUUGAAUGUUCUUCGUGAACAUGGCGGACUGCUCAGUAACACGUGGACAACCUACCCUCGGGUCCGGCAUAAUCCUGGGAAACUGGGGAUAAUUCCGGAUAGGUCACAGAAGCUGGACUGCUCUGUGUCCCAAAGCUCCGGCGCCCGAGGAUGGGUCUGCGGCCUAUCAGGGUUGUAGUGGGUGUAAUGUACCUACUAGCCUACGACGGGUACGGGUUGUGAGAGCAAGAGCCCGGAGAUGGAUUCUGAGACACGAAUCCAGGCCCUACGGGGUGCAGCAGGCGCGAAAACUUUACAAUGCGGGAAACCGUGAUAAGGGAAUCUCGAGUGCCAGCAUAUAAUGUUGGCU
Molecule: ribosomal RNA, 400 nt
Filed under: uncultured archaeon
Lineage: Archaea
Description: bacterial SSU rRNA
Rfam family: Archaeal small subunit ribosomal RNA
Source: RNAcentral